This 465-nucleotide ribosomal RNA is filed under the name Vreelandella stevensii. RNAcentral describes it as "partial 16S ribosomal RNA". It matches the Rfam family "Bacterial small subunit ribosomal RNA", at positions 338 to 795 of the family's 1533-position model. The record is from RNAcentral. Lineage: Bacteria; Pseudomonadati; Pseudomonadota; Gammaproteobacteria; Oceanospirillales; Halomonadaceae.
CCUACGGGUGGCAGCAGUGGGGAAUAUUGGACAAUGGGCGAAAGCCUGAUCCAGCCAUGCCGCGUGUGUGAAGAAGGCCUUCGGGUUGUAAAGCACUUUCAGUGGGGAAGAAAGCCUUGGGGCUAAUACCCUCGAGGAAGGACAUCACCCACAGAAGAAGCACCGGCUAACUCCGUGCCAGCAGCCGCGGUAAUACGGAGGGUGCGAGCGUUAAUCGGAAUUACUGGGCGUAAAGCGCGCGUAGGCGGUCUGAUAAGCCGGUUGUGAAAGCCCCGGGCUCAACCUGGGAACGGCAUCCGGAACUGUCAGGAUAGAGUGCAGGAGAGGAAGGUAGAAUUCCCGGUGUAGCGGUGAAAUGCGUAGAGAUCGGGAGGAAUACCAGUGGCGAAGGCGGCCUUCUGGACUGACACUGACGCUGAGGUGCGAAAGCGUGGGUAGCAAACAGGAUUAGAUACCCCGGUAGUC